Molecule: ribosomal RNA, 378 nt
Filed under: uncultured Glomus
Lineage: Eukaryota; Fungi; Glomeromycota; Glomeromycetes; Glomerales; Glomeraceae
Description: SSU rRNA
Rfam family: Eukaryotic small subunit ribosomal RNA
Source: RNAcentral
AUGUCAUUAAUUUGGUGUCUUGGGAAUCAGGACUGUUACUUUGAAAAAUUAAGAGUGUUUAAAGCAGGCUCACGCUUGAAUACAUUAGCAUGGAAUAAUGAAAUAGGACGUUUGAUUCUAUUUUGUUGGUUUCUAGGAUCGACGUAAUGAUUAAUAGGGAUAGUUGGGGGCAUUAGUAUUCAAUUGUCAGAGGUGAAAUUCUUGGAUUUAUUGAAGACUAACUACUGCGAAAAGCAUUUGCCAAGGAUGUUUUCAUUAAUCAAGAACGAAAGUUAGGGGAUCGAAGACGAUCAGAUACCGUCGUAGUCUUAACCAUAAACUAUGCCGACUAGGGAUCGGAUGAUGUUAAUUUUUUAAUGACUCAUUCGGCGCCUUACG